RNAcentral lists this ribosomal RNA (804 nucleotides) under uncultured Pseudomonadota bacterium. Its description in RNAcentral is "bacterial SSU rRNA". It matches the Rfam family "Bacterial small subunit ribosomal RNA", at positions 58 to 858 of the family's 1533-position model. Lineage: Bacteria; Pseudomonadati; Pseudomonadota. The record is from RNAcentral.
CAAGUCGAGCGAGAAAGUUCCUUCGGGAAUGAGUACAGCGGCGGACGGGUGAGUAACACGUAAGAAUCUGCCCUAUAGUGAGGAAUACCCUCGAGAAAUUGAGGUUAAUACUGCAUAAGUCCCUACGGGGAGAAAGGCGUCUUUUAUGUCGCCGCUAUAGGAUGAGCUUGCGGACUAUCAGCUUGUUGGUGAGGUAAAGGCUCACCAAGGCUAUGACGGUUAACCGGCCUGAGAGGGUGUACGGUCACAUAGGCACUGAGAUACGGGCCUGACACCUACGGGAGGCAGCAGUGGGGAAUAUUGCGCAAUGGGCGAAAGCCUGACGCAGCGACGCCGCGUGGAGGAUGAAGGUCUUAGGAUUGUAAACUCCUGUCAGAUGGGAAGAAAGGUUUAUGUUUAAUAAACGUAGAAUAUGACGGUACCAUCAGAGGAAGCACCGGCUAACUUCGUGCCAGCAGCCGCGGUAAUACGAAGGGUGCGAGCGUUAUUCGGAAUCACUGGGCGUAAAGGGUGCGUAGACGGUAUGUUAAGUUUGUUGUUAAAGGCUCCGGCCUAACCGGAGUAUUGCGAUGAAAACUGGCAUGCUAGAGGGUGAGAGAGAGAAGUGGAAUUCCUGGAGUAGCGGUAAAAUGCAUGGAUCUCAGGAGGAACACCAAUGGCGAAGGCAGCUUCUUGGCUCAUACCUGACGUUGAGGCACGAAAGCGUGGGGAGCAAACAGGAUUAGAUACCCUGGUAGUCCACGCCGUAAACGAUAAUCACUAGAUGUUGGUUCGGCUUAGCUGGAUCAGUGUCGUAGCUAACGC